AUCGGUCAGUAGCGCAGAGCCUGAAAUUUUCUUGGUAUGAAACAUUAUCUGUCAGUUGCUGUUCUCUGCUUUCUUCUAAUAGAGCUCGAAAUGGGGCACCCAGUCGAGAAAACCCCACAUCAGCUGCAACAAGAUAGAAACAAACACCCGAACGUAUCGGUAGAAGAGAGAUCAGCCCGGCGAUACGACUGCCAAGAAAAAAGGGGAAGGUGCAAGGAAAAUGGAUGCGGACUCAGGAGUCCUCUAGAUGGCACUUGCCCUGAGAAUAGAAUUUGCUGUACUUAUACCCCAGACCCAAGCCACUUCCUAAAUCCCAGGAAACUAUGAUUAAAACCAUUUUUUGUUUCGUUUCGUGUUGUCAAAUAAAGAGAAGUAUAUGUCUGGCAAA
Rhipicephalus sanguineus (brown dog tick) is the source of this 388-nucleotide long non-coding RNA. RefSeq lists it as uncharacterized. The record is from RefSeq and is a predicted model, not a curated record. Lineage: Eukaryota; Metazoa; Arthropoda; Arachnida; Ixodida; Ixodidae. The transcript is spliced from 3 exons.